ACGAACGCUGGCGGCGUGCUUAACACAUGCAAGUCGAACGUGAUUUUUGUGGAAAUUCUUUCGGGAAUGGAAAUGAAAUGAAAGUGGCGAACGGGUGAGUAACACGUGAGCAACCUACCUUACACAGGGGGAUAGCCGUUGGAAACGACGAUUAAUACCGCAUGAGACCACAGAAUCGCAUGAUAUAGGGGUCAAAUAUUUAUCGGUGUAAGAAGGGCUCGCGUCUGAUUAGCUAGUUGGAAGGGUAAAGGCCUACCAAGGCGACGAUCAGUAGCCGGUCUGAGAGGAUGAACGGCCACAUUGGAACUGAGACACGGUCCAAACUCCUACGGGAGGCAGCAGUGGGGAAUAUUGCACAAUGGGGGGAACCCUGAUGCAGCGACGCCGCGUGAGCGAAGAAGGUUUUCGAAUCGUAAAGCUCUGUCCUAUGAGAAGAUAAUGACGGUAUCAUAGGAGGAAGCCCCGGCUAAAUACGUG
RNAcentral lists this ribosomal RNA (477 nucleotides) under uncultured bacterium. RNAcentral describes it as "partial 16S ribosomal RNA". It matches the Rfam family "Bacterial small subunit ribosomal RNA", at positions 29 to 507 of the family's 1533-position model. The record is from RNAcentral.